AUAUCAAUAAGCGGAGGAAAAGAAACUAACAAGGAUUCCCCUAGUAACUGCGAGUGAAGCGGGAAAAGCUCAAAUUUAAAAUCUGGCGGUCUUUGGCCGUCCGAGUUGUAGUCUGGAGAAGUGCUUUCCGCGCUGGACCGUGUAUAAGUCUCUUGGAACAGAGCGUCAUAGAGGGUGAGAAUCCCGUCUUUGACACGGACUACCAGUGCUUUGUGAUGCGCUCUCAAAGAGUCGAGUUGUUUGGGAAUGCAGCUCAAAAUGGGUGGUGAAUUCCAUCUAAAGCUAAAUAUUGGCGAGAGACCGAUAGCGAACAAGUACCGUGAGGGAAAGAUGAAAAGCACUUUGGAAAGAGAGUUAAACAGUACGUGAAAUUGCUGAAAGGGAAACGCUUGAAGUCAGUCGCGUCUGCCGGAACUCAGCCUUCCUCUUGGUUGGUGCACUUUCCGGUAGACGGGUCAGCAUCGAUUUUGACCGUCGGAAAAGGGCUGGGGAAAUGUGGCACCCUUCGGGGUGUGUUAUAGUCUUCAGUCGCAUACGGCGGUCGGGAUCGAGGAACGCAGCGCGCCGCAAGGCAGGGGUUCGCCCACUUACGCGCUAAGGAUGCUGGCAUAAUGGCUUUAAACGACCCGUCUUGAAACACGGACCAAGGAGUCUAACAAACCUGCGAGUGUUUGGGUGGAAAACCCGAGCGCGUAAUGAAAGUGAAAGUUGAGACCUCUGUCGUGGAGGGCAUCGACGCCCGGACCUGACGUUCUCUGACGGAUCCGCGGUAGAGCAUGUUUGUUGGGACCCGAAAGAUGGUGAACUAUGCCUGAAUAGGGUGAAGCCAGAGGAAACUCUGGUGGAGGCUCGUAGCGAUUCUGACGUGCAAAUCGAUCGUCAAAUUUGGGUAUAGGGGCGAAAGACUAAUCGAACCAUCUAGUAGCUGG
This 929-nucleotide ribosomal RNA is filed under the name Lentinus crinitus. RNAcentral's name for it is "LSU rRNA". It matches the Rfam family "Eukaryotic large subunit ribosomal RNA", at positions 40 to 954 of the family's 3401-position model. The record is from RNAcentral. Lineage: Eukaryota; Fungi; Basidiomycota; Agaricomycetes; Polyporales; Polyporaceae.